Vigna umbellata (rice bean) is the source of this 4341-nucleotide non-coding RNA. NCBI's taxonomy places the organism in Eukaryota, Viridiplantae, Streptophyta, Magnoliopsida, Fabales, Fabaceae. The record is from RefSeq and is a predicted model, not a curated record.
ACUUAGCCCGAAGCUCCAGUACCAACCAAACCUAGCCGUCACAACGAACAGAAAAAGGUACACCUUCUCCCAUUUUAUCUCUUUUCCCAAUUUACCCUGUAUCUUCCGUCAAACCCUGACAACCAUUUCCACGCCUUUUCUUUUUCUCUUUGUUCAAUCUUUCAAAUCCUACACAUUACCAUUAUUCAUAUUUUUAUUUUUUACCCUAGGGUUUCCUCGUGCUCGAUAUUUCGUAUUUUUGCAAAUUAAAAUAAACUUACCGAAAAUCCCCCUUCCCCAAAAUUAGGUUUUGGUAUUAUUUAUUGGCGAUUGGUGUUUAAGGUAGGUUUGAUGGGGGAUCGGGGUUCGAGCGCCGCGAAACCGAUUUGGAUGAAGCAAGCGGAGGAGGCGAAGCUGAAGAGCGAGGCGGAGAAGACCGCGGCGGCGAAGGCGGCUUUCGAGGCCACGUUCAAGGGUUUGGAGAAGAAUCGGGAGAAGGGUGGUGGUGUCGUUCAAUCGGACAGCGAGUCGGAGGAGUACGAGGACCUGGCUCAUAAGCCCAUUGGGCCCGUCGAUCCCUCCAAGUGCACUGCCGCGGGGACCGGGAUCGCCGGUGGAACGGCGUGUGCUCCGUCAUCGUUUGUGGUGGUUGCUAAGGACGCCGAUGAGAGGAAGGUUUCCAAUGGGGGUGCGCAAAUCAAGGUGAGGGUGACGCCCGGGUUGGGUGUUGGAGGGUCUGAACAAGAGGGAAUGGUGAAGGAUAUGGGUGAUGGAACUUACACUGUGACAUAUGUGGUGCCCAAGCGAGGGAAUUAUAUGGUCAGUGUUGAGUGUAAUGGGAGGCCUAUCAUGGGGAGUCCCUUUCCUGUGUUUUUCAGUGCAGCAGGUAAUGGUAGUGGAGGGCUGCUGGGUUUAGCUCCUGCAUCUACAUUUCCAAACCUGGUUAAUCAAACUAUGCCCAACAUGCCAAAUUACUCUGGAUCAGUUUCAGGGGCAUUCCCUGGAUUGUUGGGAAUGAUUCCAGGGGUUGUUGCUGGAGCUUCUGGGGGUGCUAUUUUGCCUGGCAUUGGUGCCUCACUUGGGGAAGUUUGUCGUGAUUACCUUAAUGGGCGUUGUGCAAAAGUAGAUUGUAAGUUGAAUCACCCACCUCAUAAUUUGCUGAUGACUGCCUUAGCUGCGACAACCUCAAUGGGAACACUUAGCCAAGCUCCUAUGGCACCUUCUGCUGCUGCAAUGGCUGCAGCUCAGGCAAUAGUUGCUGCCCAAGCCCUUCAAGCGCAUGCAGCUCAGGUGCAAGCUCAGUCUGCAAAAGAUUCUUCUGGUUCUCCUGAAAAGUCUAGUAAAGAUGAUGCAUUGAAGAAAACCCUUCAAGUUAGCAAUCUUAGCCCUCUUCUCACUGUGGAACAGCUAAAGCAACUCUUUGCAUUCUGUGGCACUGUAGUUGAAUGUACGAUCACUGAUUCAAAGCAUUUUGCUUAUAUAGAGUACUCAAAGCCUGAAGAGGCAACUGCUGCUCUGGCGUUAAACAACAUAGAUGUUGGGGGGCGCCCUUUGAAUGUUGAAAUGGCAAAAUCACUUCCACAAAAGCCAUCGGUGGUGAAUUCUUCACUUGCUUCGUCAUCUCUUCCUCUGAUGAUGCAGCAAGCUGUUGCAAUGCAACAGAUGCAAUUCCAGCAAGCAUUGUUGAUGCAACAAACCAUGACUGCACAGCAGGCUGCUAAUCGAGCUGCAACCAUGAAAUCUGCCACAGAGCUAGCUGCAGCCCGAGCGGCAGAAAUAAGUAAGAAAUUGAAUCCUGAUGGACUUGAAAGUGAAGCAAAAGAGGCGAAGCAAAAAUCCAGAUCACCGUCUCCCCCUCGUGGAAGAUCUCGAUCAAAAUCAAGGUCUCCUAUCAAUUACCGAAGAAGGAGAAGAUCUCGCUCUUAUUCACCUGUGCGUCACUCUAGGGAUCAUCGUUCUCGGUCACCAUUGAGGUCACAUCAUUACUCGAGCUAUGAAAGGGAAAGGCGCUAUAGAGAUAUUAGGGAACAUAGUGAUAGGUACAGAAAGCGAGAUUUGGAUAGAUCACUUGAUUACCGUUUAUCUGCUUCUAGAAGGAACAAAAGUAGGAGUGUUAGUCCUCAUACACGGAAAUCAUCUGUUUCUCCAAAACAUCAUAGAGACACUUCACCUCAUAGAGGAAGGAAACAGUCACGUGCUGAUUCAGGCUCUCCAAGCCGUCACAGAGGUAGGUCUUCUCCAAAGACUGAUGAAAAAAAAUUAAGAAACAGAAGGCGCUCAAGGUCAAGAUCAUCAGACGAUAAUAGGCUUCACUAUAGCAAAAAUGAAGAAAUCUUGGAUGGAAAAUCUAAACAAAAAGAGAGAAUUCGUUCCAGGUCAGUGUCUGUGGAUGAAAAGCCUCACAGAAGGAGCCGGUCAUCACCGAGAAAAGUGGAUGAAAGUAGAUCCAGAUACAAAAAACGCUCAAGGUCUAAAUCUGUGGAUGAUAAGCAUGACUCCCCCGAGAGAUUGGAUAAAAACAGAUAUAGAAGAUUGAGGCAUAAUGAUAAAAGGCACUCUAGGUCAAGAUCUACAGAAAAUAGGGAUCAGGCUGAUUUUAGGGUGGGUGAAAGCAAAAAUGAAAAGUCAAAACAUCGUGAUUCUAGAAGGGGCAGGUCAAAAUCUGUUGAAGGGAAGCAUCGCUCUAAAGAUAAAUCUGGUGAAAAUAGAGAUAAGAAAAAAAAACAUCGAGAUAGAAGGCGUUCAAGGUCAAUAUCAUUAGAAGGUGAGCUGGAGAAAAGAGGCACUUCACCCCAUAUUAAUUUGGAUGAGAGAAAUUUUGAACUGAAACAGUCCAGUUCAAAGUUCCCUGAAGGCAAGCAUCACUCCAGUGAUAAAUAUGCAAAUAGAGAUGAAAAAUCAGAUCAUCAAAAGAAAACCCCACCUAAAUCAAAAUCAAAACAAUUUGAUGGGAGUGGGUCCUUCCAAGGAAAUUUCGAGGAUUAUGAAUCAAAGGGGAAAUCACAAUCUGAUUCUGGAUCUGCAGAAGUUAAGCAUAAUUUGAAUGAUGGAGAAGAUACUACCUGUGAAGAAAACUCAAAACUUUCUGGAGAAGUCAAGGACUCAAGUACCCUUAAUGAUACUGAGAUGCUGACCUCAGUGAAUGGUAACUACAAGUUAGAAGGGUCAAAUGAAGCUGAUGAUAACCCAGGAUGGAUAUGCGUGGAAGAAGUGGGAAAUGUAAAAUAUUAAGCAAACAUGGCUUGGAGUAUUGGUUCCAAAUGAUAAUCCAAAAUUCUACCUCGCUUUCUGAUAGUGCUAACAAUAUAGCUAUUAGUACAGAUUUCUGUUAUUUGCUCUUGAAUCAGAAGUAUCUAAGGAGUAAGGAUAAUUGAAGCUCGCUACUUACAAAUGCCUAUCAGGAAGCAGCAUCACCCAACGAAGACUGCUUUUGUUACUUGUCACUAUAUAUCAUGACUUUCUAUGUUGAAGAUUUCCUGAGCAAGAUCUUUCCUAGGAAUAUAUGGUUUCAUGGGAGGGUUGCGAUUCUUAGGAUGAUGCCUCCACUAUUUGAUUGGUCCCCAGAUUAUUCUCUGUUGGCUUAUGAACAUCUUCGGUUGUUUAUUUCUUUUUUUUUGCAGGUCUGGUUGGAAAAGAUCAGGUGUAGAAUCCCACAGCUGUUGGUGUGGUUUAAGGUUUCAAGAAGUUUCCUGUUAUAGUCAUGAUCAACAGUGCAUACUGCUUGAUUGAUGUUAUUCUCAUUGAAAUCUGUUGGAGCUUUGAGAUACAGUUAUGCUGGGUUGAUUUUUCUCUUGUGUAAAUGAAGAAAUCGUCAUGGUUAGGUAAAGCUUCUAUGUAAAGGUCAACUGAACCUGGAUGUUGCUGCAAUGAGUUUCACCAUGUUGCGUUUGAGAAUUGGCUGAGUUACAGUUUUUACUUAUGUAAAUGCUGAAAUGCAAAUGAUUUCAACAGGUAAGCAUUGGAUAUGAUGAUCUUAGAGCUGCUGCAAAUUCUCUUCACCAGAUGAUUGUGUGAAGUAUGUUCUUGGAAGUCCUAUUGGUGUUUUAGUUUCCUUUCUUUGCACCACCUGGUGUAGUCACACCAAUGUUAUGGCUUCUCCAGUUGGCUCUUAGGCUUUACCAUACAGUGUUUGUUCAUAAUUCUGCAUGGUUUAAUAGAAUAUUUUAACAAUUUCAAGGUUGGGCUCGAAAUGGGUAGGUACUGAUCUAGGUUAUUGUCGAAUUCUGAAUAUUUUGAUGCGUGGCAUAUGCAAUGGGUAGUGGCUAAUUGAGGAAACUGUUGGCACGUUGAUGAUCCAGGCUCUCGGCGAAUAUUUUGAUCGAAUUUCCCCCUCGAAAAUAAAUCCAAAAUUUUUAGAUUAAA